GAAUAUUGGACAAUGGGCGGGAGCCUGAUCCAGCCAUGCCGCGUGCAGGAUGACGGCCCUAUGGGUUGUAAACUGCUUUUAUACGGGAAGAAACGCGCCCACGUGUGGGCGUUUGACGGUACCGUAAGAAUAAGGACCGGCUAACUCCGUGCCAGCAGCCGCGGUAAUAAGGAGGGUCCGAGCGUUAUCCGGAAUCAUUGGGUUUAAAGGGUCCGUAGGCGGGCCUGUAAGUCAGGGGUGAAAGUUUGUGGCUCAACCAUAAAAUUGCCUUUGAUACUGCAGGUCUUGAGUCAUGGUGGGGUUGACGGAACAUGUGGUGUAGCGGUGAAAUGCAUAGAUAUCACAUAGAACACCGAUCGCGAAGGCAGGUGACCAACCAUGUACUGACGCUGAUGGACGAAAGCGUGGGUAGCGAACGGGA
RNAcentral lists this ribosomal RNA (421 nucleotides) under uncultured bacterium. RNAcentral describes it as "bacterial SSU rRNA". It matches the Rfam family "Bacterial small subunit ribosomal RNA", at positions 359 to 777 of the family's 1533-position model. The record is from RNAcentral.